AAAGACUGCGUUGCCCCGAGAAUCUAACUAUUUAUAACCCGUCAAGGUUGAGAAGCUAUCUUUUUCUUUCUUCACCGGUAAUUAUAUUGUCUUUCUUUGCGGGGUUCUCUUUGUUUUUGCAGUAUCUUCUUGUUUUGAAGCUAAAGUUUAAAACUUUUAAACGGAAUUGCUAUCUCCUUCGCUUCUUGAAGGGAAUUAUUCCGAGUUACGUUGUUGUCUUUGAUAUAUUGAUCGAGGAAACAUUGUGGGGUUGAGCUUUUUUUUUAAUUACCAGUAGUUAUCAAGGGAGUGGGUUUUGAUGAAAAAGAGGAAUAGUAUUCUAGAUGUGUGCUGCUUUUAAACCAUAGC
This 348-nucleotide long non-coding RNA is filed under the name Populus tremula. Its description in RNAcentral is "long non-coding RNA (PTRE_LNC002708)". Lineage: Eukaryota; Viridiplantae; Streptophyta; Magnoliopsida; Malpighiales; Salicaceae. The record is from RNAcentral.